RNAcentral lists this small nuclear RNA (23 nucleotides) under Arabidopsis thaliana (thale cress). RNAcentral describes it as "snRNA_10662". The record is from RNAcentral. Lineage: Eukaryota; Viridiplantae; Streptophyta; Magnoliopsida; Brassicales; Brassicaceae.
GUUUUCCUUAUCUUUAUCAUCCU